UUUCCGUAGGUGAACCUGCGGAAGGAUCAUUCUCGAAUUUCGAGGGGAAGGAAGAUGAGGAGUGGAGACUGUCGUUGGCUUUCCCGCCUGGGAAGCAUGUGCACGCCUUGCUUUUCGUUGACCUUUCUCUUACUCUCACACCUGUGCACCCAUUGCAGGUCCUCGAAAGAGGAUCUAUGUUUUUAUCAUCACACGCAUCGUAUGUCCAUAGAAUGUAACAUGAUCGUCGAUCGACCUCGCGGUCGGGUGGCGGUCUAAAUAAAUAGAUACAACUUUCAGCAACGGAUCUCUUGGCUCUC
Molecule: unclassified non-coding RNA, 299 nt
Filed under: plant metagenome
Description: partial contains small subunit ribosomal RNA, internal transcribed spacer 1, and 5.8S ribosomal RNA
Source: RNAcentral